ACGAACGCUGGCGGCGUGCUUAACACAUGCAAGUCGCGCGGAAAGGCCCUUUCGGGGGUACUCGAGCGGCGAACGGGUGAGUAACACGUGAGUAAUCUGCCCUUCACUUGGGGAUAACCUCCGGAAACGGUGGCUAAUACCCGAUACGACCAUUCCUCGCAUGAGGUGGUGGUGGAAAGUUUUUCGGUGGGGGAUGUGCUCGCGGCCUAUCAGCUUGUUGGUGGGGUAAUGGCCUACCAAGGCUUCGACGGGUAGCCGGCCUGAGAGGGUGACCGGCCACACUGGGACUGAGACACGGCCCAGACUCCUACGGGAGGCAGCAGUGGGGAAUAUUGGACAAUGGGCGGAAGCCUGAUCCAGCAACGCCGCGUGAGGGAUGACGGCCUUCGGGUUGUAAACCUCUUUCACCUGUGACGAAGCGAAAGUGACGGUAGCAGGAGAAGAAGCACCGGCCAACUACGUG
RNAcentral lists this ribosomal RNA (463 nucleotides) under uncultured bacterium. RNAcentral's name for it is "partial 16S ribosomal RNA". It matches the Rfam family "Bacterial small subunit ribosomal RNA", at positions 29 to 507 of the family's 1533-position model. The record is from RNAcentral.